ACGGCUCAGUAACACGUGGAUAAUCUGCCCUUAGGUGGAGGAUAACCUCGGGAAACUGAGAAUAAUACUCCAUAGAUCUAGGAUGCUGGAAUGCACUUAGAUUGAAAGUUCCGGCGCCUAAGGAUGAGUCUGCGGACUAUCAGGUAGUAGUCAGGGUAAAGGCCUGACUAGCCUACGACGGAUACGGGUUGUGAGAGCAAUAACCCGGAGACGAUAUCUGAGACACGAUAUCGGGCCCUACGGGGCGCAGCAGGCGCGAAACCUUCACAAUGUGCGAAAGCACGAUGAGGGGAUCCCAAGUGCUUGCUCGUAAGAGUAAGCUGUUUUUAUGUUCAAAACGCAUAAAGAGUAAGGGCUGGGUAAGACGGGUGCCAGCCGCCGCGGUAAUACCUGCAGCUCAAGUGGUGACCGCUAUUAUUGGGCCUAAAACGUUCGUAGCCGGUUUGGUAAAUGCCUGGGUAAAUCGUGUAGCUUAACUAUACGAAUUCCGGGUAGACUGCCAAACUUGAGACCGGGAGAAGCUAGAGGUACUCCUUGGGUAGAGGUGAAAUUCUGUAAUCCUGGGGGGACCACCAGUGGCGAAGGCGUCUAGCUAGAACGGGUUUGACGGUGAGGAACGAAGCCCUGGGGCGCAAACCGGAUUAGAUACCCGGGUAGUCCAGGGUGUAAACGCUGCUUGCUUGAUGUUAGUUGGGCUCCGAGCCCAAUUAGUGUCGGAGAGAAGUUGUUAAGCAAGCUGCCUGGGAAGUACGAUCGCAAGAUUGAAACUUAAAGGAAUUGGCGGGGGAGCACAGCAACGGGUGGAGCGUGCGGUUUAAUUGGAGUCAACGCCGGG
Molecule: ribosomal RNA, 835 nt
Filed under: uncultured archaeon
Lineage: Archaea
Description: bacterial SSU rRNA
Rfam family: Archaeal small subunit ribosomal RNA
Source: RNAcentral